GCAAAGGUAGUAAGGGCUGACGGGGGAUGCCUAGGCAUCAAGAGCCGAAGAAGGACGUGGCUAAGCUGCGAAAAGCUACGGGUAGUCGCUGGCAGACGUAACCGUAGAUAUCCGAAUGGGGCAACCCAACGAGCGUGAUGGCUCGUUACUCCGCAAGGAGAGGCAAGCGGCUGAACUGAAACAUCUAAGUAAGCCGAGGAAAAGAGAAUAUUCCCCAAGUAGUGGCGAACGAACGGGGAGGAGCCUAAACCGAGAGAUUUAUCUUUCGGGGUUGUAGGACCGCCAAAUAUGAUACGAUGGAAGCUAGACGAAAGGUCCUGGGAAGGCCUGCCGGAGCGGGUGAUAGCCCCGUAGUCGAAAGCAGAAAUUGGUCAGGCGGCACCUGAGUAGCGCGGGGCACGUGAAAUCCCGUGUGAAGCUGGGGAGACCACUUCCCAAGGCUAAAUACUCUUGAUGACCGAUAGUGAACAAGUACCGUGAGGGAAAGGUGAAAAGCACCCCGACAAGGGGAAUGAAAUAGAUCCUGAAACCGUCAGCUUACAAACAGUCAGAGGGAGCAAUCCUGAUGGCGUACUUUUUGUAGAACGGACCGGCGAGUUAAUUUCUGUAGCAAGGUUAAGGGAGAUACACCCGGAGCCGGAGCGAAAGCGAGUCUGAAUAGGGCGUGAAGUUGCAGGGAUUGAGACCCGAAACCAGGUGAGCUAACCUUGGUCAGGUUGAAGCCGCUGUAAAAGGCGGUGGAGGACCGAACCCACCAUUGUUGCAAAAAUGGGGGAUGAACUGAGGUUAGGGGUGAAAUGCCAAACGAACUUGGAGAUAGCUGGUUCUCCCCGAAAUGUAUUUAGGUACAGCCUCUGAAAAAGGCUGGUGGAGGUAGAGCACUGAAUAGGCUAGGGGGCGCAAGCUUACCAAACCUAACCAAACUCCGAAUGCCAUCAGCUAUGUCAGGGAGUGAGACGGCGAGUGCUAACAUCCGUCGUCGAGAGGGAAACAACCCGGACUGGCAGCUAAGGUCCCUAAAUAGUGGCUAAGUGGUAAAGGAUGUCUCAGCGCGUAAACAACCAGGAGGUUGGCUUAGAAGCAGCCACCCUUGAAAGAGUGCGUAAUAGCUCACUGGUCAAAUGUGAUGGGGCGCCGACAAUUUAGCGGGGCUCAAGCCACUUACCGAAGCUCCAGGUGUGCGAAAGCACGCGGUAGGGGAGCAUUGUAGGAGCGACGAACCACACCGUAAGGUUAGUGAGGGAGCGACUACAAGAGAGAAUGCCGGUAUGAGUAGCGUAUUGCUUGCAAGAAACAAGCACACCGAAAGUCUAAGGUUUCCGAAGCAAGGUUAAUCCACUUCGGGUCAGUCGGGCCUAAGGUGUAGGCGAGAGCCGAAACCGAUGGACAACUGGUUGAUAUUCCAGUACCGCUCUUAAUCGUUCGGACUGAUGGGGUAACGCAGGGAGCUAGCCGGAGUGUGCUGCGGCACAUCGAAGCUGGUAGAUCGAUGAGGCUGGGGAGAAAAGCCCUGGCGGAGGUCGAGAGGUGACAGUGAGGGUGCGGCUUGCCAAACCCAAGUCUGGUGAAGCUGAACUGCCGAGAAAAGCCUCUAAGGAGAGAGAGAGCGACCGUACCGCAAACCGACACAGGUAGACGGGUAGAGAAUACCAAGGUGAACGAAAGACCCUUCGUUAAGGAACUCUGCAAAAUGACCUCGUAACUUCGGGAGAAGAGGUGCUGUUUGGGGUGUAGGUCUAUACGACCAGAGCUCUGGACAGCCGCAGUGAAGUGGCCCAGGCGACUGUUUAACAAAAACUUAGGUCUCUGCGAACGCGAAAGCGGAAGUAUAGGGGCUGAUGCCUGCCCAGUGCUGGAAGGUUAAGAGGAGGGGUGCAAGCUCUGAAUUGAAGCCCCAGUGAACGGCGGCCGUAACUCUAACGGUCCUAAGGUAGCGAAAUUCCUUGUCGGGUAAGUUCCGACCCGCACGAAAGGCAUAACGAUCUGGGCGCUGUCUCAACGAGGGCUUCGGCGAAAUUGAAAAACCCGUGAAGAUACAGGUUACCCGCAGCAGGACAAAAAGACCCCGUGGAGCUUUACUACAACUUGACAUUGGACUAGGGCGUUAGAUGCGUAGGAUAGGUGGGAGCCUGAGAAGCCUGACUUUUGGGUUAGGUGGAGGCAACGGUGAAAUACCACUCUUCUGACGUUUUGGCUCUAACUCUUCGGAGGACAGUGUCUGGUGGGUAGUUUGACUGGGGCGGUCGCCUCCCAAAAGGUAACGGAGGCGCCCAAAGGUUCCCUCAGGCUGAAUGGAAACCAGCCAAUGAGCGCAAAGGUAUAAGGGAGCUUGACUGCGAGACGCACAGGUCGAGCAGGUACGAAAGUAGGGCUUAGUGAUCCCACGGUGCUGAGUGGAAAGGCCGUGGCUUAACGGAUAAAAGCUACCCCGGGGAUAACAGGCUUAUCUUGCCCAAGAGUUCACAUCGACGGCAAGGUUUGGCACCUCGAUGUCGGCUCGUCGCAUCCUGGGGCUGGAGUAGGUCCCAAGGGUUGGGCUGUUCGCCCAUUAAAGCGGCACGCGAGCUGGGUUCAGAACGUCGUGAGACAGUUCGGUCUCUAUCCGCUGUGGGCGUAGGAAGAUUGAGGGGGGCUGUCCUUAGUACGAGAGGACCGGGAUGGACGAACCAAUGGUAUGCCAGUUGUCCGCAGGGCACGGCUGGAUGGCUACGUUCGGAAGGGAUAACCGCUGAAAGCAUCUAAGUGGGAAGCCCGCCCCAAGAUAAUUCUUCCCAGACCGGUGGUAGACUACCACCUUGAUAGAGCGGAAGUGGAAGCGUCGCGAGGCGUUAAGCUAACCGCUACUAAUGGUCGU
RNAcentral lists this ribosomal RNA (2854 nucleotides) under Bacteroidota bacterium. RNAcentral describes it as "Bacteroidetes bacterium (freshwater metagenome) 23S ribosomal RNA". It matches the Rfam family "Bacterial large subunit ribosomal RNA". Lineage: Bacteria; Pseudomonadati; Bacteroidota. RNAcentral also lists the same sequence under 1 other name. The record is from RNAcentral.